RNAcentral lists this ribosomal RNA (451 nucleotides) under uncultured bacterium. Its description in RNAcentral is "partial 16S ribosomal RNA". It matches the Rfam family "Bacterial small subunit ribosomal RNA", at positions 29 to 523 of the family's 1533-position model. The record is from RNAcentral.
AACGAACGCUGGCGGCAGGCUUAACACAUGCAAGUCGAACGAACAUAGCAAUAUGUUAGUGGCAGACGGGUGAGGAACACGUGGGAACAUCCCUUUCAGUUCGGAAUAACGUUGGGAAGCUAACGCUAAUACCGGAUACGUCCUUCGGGAGAAAGAUUUAUCGCUGAAAGAUUGGCCCGCGUCUGAUUAGCUAGUUGGUGAGGUAAUGGCUCACCAAGGCUACGAUCAGUAGCUGAUCUGAGAGGAUGAUCAGCCACAUUGGGACUGAGACACGGCCCAAACUCCUACGGGAGGCGGCAGUGGGGAAUAUUGGACAAUGGGCGCAAGCCUGAUCCAGCCAUGCCGCGUGAGUGAUGACGGCCUUCGGGUUGUAAAGCUCUUUUGUCCGGGAAGAUAAUGACUGUACCGGAAGAAUAAGCCCCGGCAAACUUCGUGCCAGCCGCCGCAGUAA